GAGGGUAUAGCUCAGUGAUAGAGUGCCUGCUCAGCAUGCAUGAGGUCAUGGGUUCAAUACCCAGUACCUCCA
RNAcentral lists this transfer RNA (72 nucleotides) under Camelus bactrianus (Bactrian camel). It matches the Rfam family "tRNA". Rfam says of the family: Transfer RNA (tRNA) molecules are approximately 80 nucleotides in length. Their secondary structure includes four short double-helical elements and three loops (D, anti-codon, and T loops). Further hydrogen bonds mediate the characteristic L-shaped molecular structure. tRNAs have two regions of fundamental functional importance: the anti-codon, which is responsible for specific mRNA codon recognition, and the 3' end, to which the tRNAs corresponding amino acid is attached (by aminoacyl-tRNA synthetases). tRNAs cope with the degeneracy of the genetic code in two manners: having more than one tRNA (with a specific anti-codon) for a particular amino acid; and 'wobble' base-pairing, i.e. permitting non-standard base-pairing at the 3rd anti-codon position. Lineage: Eukaryota; Metazoa; Chordata; Mammalia; Artiodactyla; Camelidae. RNAcentral also lists the same sequence under 2 other names. The record is from Rfam by way of RNAcentral.